GUAGGUGCAAGCGUUGUCCGGAAUUAUUGGGCGUAAAGCGCGCGCAGGCGGUUCUUUAAGCCUGAUGUGAAAGCCCACGGGCUCAACCGUGGAGGGUCAUUGGAAACUGGAGAACUUGAGUACAGAAGAGGAAAGCGGAAUUCCACGUGUAGCGGUGAAAUGCGUAGAGAUGUGGAGGAACACCAGUGGCGAAGGCGGCUUUCUGGUCUGUAACUGACGCUGAGGCGCGAAAGCGUGGGGAGCAUACAGGAUUAGAUACCCUGGUAGUCCACGCCGUAAACGAUGAGUGCUAAGUGUUAGGGGGUUUCCGCCCCUUAGUGCUGCAGCUAACGCAUUAAGCACUCCGCCUGGGGAGUACGACCGCAAGGUUG
Molecule: ribosomal RNA, 371 nt
Filed under: uncultured organism
Description: partial 16S ribosomal RNA
Rfam family: Bacterial small subunit ribosomal RNA
Source: RNAcentral